UACGAAGGGGGCUAGCGUUGCUCGGAAUUACUGGGCGUAAAGGGCGCGUAGGCGGACAUUUAAGUCAGAGGUGAAAUCCCGAGGCUCAACCUCGGAACUGCCUUCGAUACUGGCGAUCUUCGAGUCCGGGAGAGGUGAGUGGAACUCCGAGUGUAGAGGUGAAAUUCGUAGAUAUUCGGAAGAACACCAGUGGCGAAGGCGGCUCACUGGCCCGGUACUGACGCUGAGAUGCGAAAGCGUGGGGAGCAAACAGG
This 254-nucleotide ribosomal RNA is filed under the name uncultured bacterium. Its description in RNAcentral is "partial 16S ribosomal RNA". It matches the Rfam family "Bacterial small subunit ribosomal RNA", at positions 524 to 776 of the family's 1533-position model. The record is from RNAcentral.